Molecule: ribosomal RNA, 475 nt
Filed under: Achromobacter sp. R-17690
Lineage: Bacteria; Pseudomonadati; Pseudomonadota; Betaproteobacteria; Burkholderiales; Alcaligenaceae
Description: bacterial SSU rRNA
Rfam family: Bacterial small subunit ribosomal RNA
Source: RNAcentral
AUUGAACGCUAGCGGGAUGCCUUACACAUGCAAGUCGAACGGCAGCACGGACUUCGGUCUGGUGGCGAGUGGCGAACGGGUGAGUAAUGUAUCGGAACGUGCCCAGUAGCGGGGGAUAACUACGCGAAAGCGUAGCUAAUACCGCAUACGCCCUAAGGGGGAAAGCAGGGGAUCGCAAGACCUUGCACUAUUGGAGCGGCCGAUAUCGGAUUAGCUAGUUGGUGAGGUAAUGGCUCACCAAGGCGACGAUCCGUAGCUGGUUUGAGAGGACGACCAGCCACACUGGGACUGAGACACGGCCCAGACUCCUACGGGAGGCAGCAGUGGGGAAUUUUGGACAAUGGGGGAAACCCUGAUCCAGCCAUCCCGCGUGUGCGGAUGAAGGCCUUCGGGUUGUAAAGCACUUUUGGCAGGAAAGAAACGGCGCGGGUUAAUACCCUGCGCAACUGACGGUACCUGCAGAAUAAGCACCGGC